AACAAAAUUAUUAAGUGUAUAGUGGCUCCUCUUCAAGCAAAGUAUUUUGAUGGAGCGUGGGAAAGAGCACGCAUCUCCUAUCACACCUCCUACCACAAAUCCAUCAACAAAUCCAUCAAAUCAGAUGAUACCAAGACCAUUUUAUACAUAUUUUUCAACACCUCCUUGCAUGGAUACAUCUAUCAAUCCUGCAAAUCAGGUGAUACCAAUGUCUUUUUAUCCGGAUUUCUCAAGCUAUAUGCAUGAGGGCCAUACACCAAUGCCACAUGCUUGGUUCCCACCAUUCUUACCUCGUCCUAGUGCCAACCCAACUCCAUGGACUUGUCAGUCAUCAACCUCCUCUCCGAUUGGUUUAAACACUGCAAGCUCAAGCCAUGUGGAAGAAAUUCAAGAGCCAACACC
Molecule: long non-coding RNA, 402 nt
Organism: Juglans regia (Persian walnut)
Lineage: Eukaryota; Viridiplantae; Streptophyta; Magnoliopsida; Fagales; Juglandaceae
Exons: 3
Source: RefSeq, a predicted model, not a curated record